AAUAAUUCUUCCUUUACAACACCUGCAUCUGGAGAAAUUUCAACAAUUGUCGGCUGCACAAAGUUGCCCUCUGAUUCAAUAACUGAACCUCCAAUCACAAUCUUUCCUCCCUGAGACUUAAUGAUCUCAAUUCCCUUCUCAAAAUUCUUCCUUGAAUCUGACGUGUGCAAUGGCCCCAGCAAGGUACCUUUCUCAAGAGGAUCUCCAAUUUUUACUUGUUUGUAUACAUCAACCAAUUGAUCAAGCACUUUCUGAUAGAUGCUUUCAUGAAGCAACAGCCUUCGACAUGUUGUGCAUCGUUGUCCAGCUGUGCCAACAGCAGCAAAGAGU
This 330-nucleotide unclassified non-coding RNA is filed under the name Hevea brasiliensis (rubber tree). The record is from RNAcentral. Lineage: Eukaryota; Viridiplantae; Streptophyta; Magnoliopsida; Malpighiales; Euphorbiaceae.